GACGAACCGUGCGAACGUUGUUCGGAUUCACUGGGCUUAAAGGGCGCGUAGGCGGUCGACCAAGUCUGGGGUGAAAUCUUUCGGCUCAACCGGAAAAGUGCCCCCGAUACUGGCCGGCUAGAGGGAGAUAGGGGCAUGUGGAACUUCCGGUGGAGCGGUGAAAUGCGUAGAUAUCGGAAGGAACACCGGUGGCGAAAGCGGCGCGCUGGAUCCCUACUGACGCUGAGGCACGAAAGCCAGGGGAGCAA
This 248-nucleotide ribosomal RNA is filed under the name uncultured bacterium. RNAcentral describes it as "partial 16S ribosomal RNA". It matches the Rfam family "Bacterial small subunit ribosomal RNA", at positions 524 to 771 of the family's 1533-position model. The record is from RNAcentral.